GCACUGCUGACGAGUCCCAAACAGGACGGAAAAGCUGUCCAGUGC
This 45-nucleotide non-coding RNA is filed under the name Echinostoma caproni. Lineage: Eukaryota; Metazoa; Platyhelminthes; Trematoda; Plagiorchiida; Echinostomatidae. The record is from RNAcentral.